Molecule: ribosomal RNA, 2905 nt
Filed under: Enterococcus faecalis
Lineage: Bacteria; Bacillati; Bacillota; Bacilli; Lactobacillales; Enterococcaceae
Also listed under: 3 other names
Description: 23S ribosomal RNA
Rfam family: Bacterial large subunit ribosomal RNA
Source: RNAcentral
GGUUAAGCGACUAAGCGUACACGGUGGAUGCCCUGGCAGUCAGAGGCGAUGAAGGACGUGCUAAUCUGCGAAAAGCGCCGGCGAGGUGAUAUGAACCCUUGACCCGGCGAUGUCCGAAUGGGGAAACCCAGUGCAAUCCGUUGCACUAUCGUUAACUGAAUACAUAGGUUAACGAGGCGAACCGGGGGAACUGAAACAUCUAAGUACCCCGAGGAAAAGAAAUCAACCGAGAUUCCCCCAGUAGCGGCGAGCGAACGGGGAGCAGCCCGGAGUCUGAAUCAGCUUGUGUGUUAGUGGAACGGUCUGGAAAGUCCGACGGUACAGGGUGAUAGUCCCGUACACGAAAGCACACAUGCUGUGAACUCGAAGAGUAGGGCGGGACACGUGGUAUCCUGUCUGAAUAUGGGGGGACCAUCCUCCAAGGCUAAAUACUCCUGACUGACCGAUAGUGAACCAGUACCGUGAGGGAAAGGCGAAAAGAACCCCGGCGAGGGGAGUGAAAAAGAACCUGAAACCGUGUACGUACAAGCAGUGGGAGCCUCUUUAUGGGGUGACUGCGUACCUUUUGUAUAAUGGGUCAGCGACUUAUAUUCUGUAGCAAGGUUAACCGUAUAGGGGAGCCGAAGGGAAACCGAGUCUUAACUGGGCGUUAAGUUGCAGGGUAUAGACCCGAAACCCGGUGAUCUAGCCAUGGGCAGGUUGAAGGUUGGGUAACACUAACUGGAGGACCGAACCGACUAAUGUUGAAAAAUUAGCGGAUGACCUGUGGCUGGGGGUGAAAGGCCAAUCAAACCGGGAGAUAGCUGGUUCUCCCCGAAAGCUAUUUAGGUAGCGCCUCGUGAACUCAUCUUCGGGGGUAGAGCACUGUUUCGGCUAGGGGGCCAUCCCGGCUUACCAACCCGAUGCAAACUACGAAUACCGAAGAAUGUUAUCACGGGAGACACACGGCGGGUGCUAACGUCCGUCGUGAAGAGGGAAACAACCCAGACCGCCAGCUAAGGUCCCAAAGUCAUGGUUAAGUGGGAAACGAUGUGGGAAGGCACAGACAGCCAGGAUGUUGGCUUAGAAGCAGCCAUCAUUUAAAGAAAGCGUAAUAGCUCACUGGUCGAGUCGGCCUGCGCGGAAGAUGUAACGGGGCUAAACCAUGCACCGAAGCUGCGGCAGCGACACUAUGUGUUGUUGGGUAGGGGAGCGUUCUGUAAGCCGUUGAAGGUGUGCUGUGAGGCAUGCUGGAGGUAUCAGAAGUGCGAAUGCUGACAUAAGUAACGAUAAAGCGGGUGAAAAGCCCGCUCGCCGGAAGACCAAGGGUUCCUGUCCAACGUUAAUCGGGGCAGGGUGAGUCGACCCCUAAGGCGAGGCCGAAAGGCGUAGUCGAUGGGAAACAGGUUAAUAUUCCUGUACUUGGUGUUACUGCGAAGGGGGGACGGAGAAGGCUAUGUCAGCCGGGCGACGGUUGUCCCGGUUUAAGCAUGUAGGCGGAGGUUCCAGGUAAAUCCGGUACCUUGUUAACGCUGAGGUGUGAUGACGAGGCACUACGGUGCUGAAGUGAUAAAUGCCCUGCUUCCAGGAAAAGCCUCUAAGCAUCAGGUAACACGAAAUCGUACCCCAAACCGACACAGGUGGUCAGGUAGAGAAUACCAAGGCGCUUGAGAGAACUCGGGUGAAGGAACUAGGCAAAAUGGUGCCGUAACUUCGGGAGAAGGCACGCUGAUGUGUAGGUGAAGCCCCUGCGGGCGGAGCUGAAAUCAGUCGAAGAUACCAGCUGGCUGCAACUGUUUAUUAAAAACACAGCACUGUGCAAACACGAAAGUGGACGUAUACGGUGUGACGCCUGCCCGGUGCCGGAAGGUUAAUUGAUGGGGUUAGCGGCAACGCGAAGCUCUUGAUCGAAGCCCCGGUAAACGGCGGCCGUAACUAUAACGGUCCUAAGGUAGCGAAAUUCCUUGUCGGGUAAGUUCCGACCUGCACGAAUGGCGUAAUGAUGGCCAGGCUGUCUCCACCCGAGACUCAGUGAAAUUGAACUCGCUGUGAAGAUGCAGUGUACCCGCGGCAAGACGGAAAGACCCCGUGAACCUUUACUAUAGCUUGACACUGAACACUGGUCCUUGAUGUGUAGGAUAGGUGGGAGGCUUUGAAGCGUGGACGCCAGUCUGCGUGGAGCCAACCUUGAAAUACCACCCUUUAAUGGCUGGUGUUCUAACGUAGACCCGUAAUCCGGGUUGCGGACAGUGUCUGGUGGGUAGUUUGACUGGGGCGGUCUCCUCCCAAAGAGUAACGGAGGAGCACGAAGGUUGGCUAAUCCUGGUCGGACAUCAGGAGGUUAGUGCAAUGGCAUAAGCCAGCUUGACUGCGAGCGUGACGGCGCGAGCAGGUGCGAAAGCAGGUCAUAGUGAUCCGGUGGUUCUGAAUGGAAGGGCCAUCGCUCAACGGAUAAAAGGUACUCCGGGGAUAACAGGCUGAUACCGCCCAAGAGUUCAUAUCGACGGCGGUGUUUGGCACCUCGAUGUCGGCUCAUCACAUCCUGGGGCUGAAGUAGGUCCCAAGGGUAUGGCUGUUCGCCAUUUAAAGUGGUACGCGAGCUGGGUUUAGAACGUCGUGAGACAGUUCGGUCCCUAUCUGCCGUGGGCGCUGGAGAAUUGAGGGGGGCUGCUCCUAGUACGAGAGGACCGGAGUGGACGCAUCACUGGUGUUCGGGUUGUCAUGCCAAUGGCACUGCCCGGUAGCUAAAUGCGGAAGAGAUAAGUGCUGAAAGCAUCUAAGCACGAAACUUGCCCCGAGAUGAGUUCUCCCUGAGACUUUAAGUCUCCUGAAGGAACGUUGAAGACGACGACGUUGAUAGGUCGGGUGUGUAAGCGCAGCGAUGCGUUGAGCUAACCGAUACUAAUGAACCGUGAGGCUUAACCUU